Molecule: ribosomal RNA, 460 nt
Filed under: uncultured bacterium
Lineage: Bacteria
Description: partial 16S ribosomal RNA
Rfam family: Bacterial small subunit ribosomal RNA
Source: RNAcentral
CCUACGGGUGGCAGCAGUGCGGAAUAUUGGUCAAUGGACGAAAGUCUGAACCAGCCAAGUAGCGUGAAGGAUGACUGCCCUAUGGGUUGUAAACUUCUUUUAUAUGGAAGUAAAAUGUUCCUCGUGUGGGGUUUUGUAUGUACCGUAUGAAUAAGGAUCGGCUAACUCCGUGCCAGCCGCCGAGGUAAUACGUAGGAUCCGAGCGUUAUCCGGAUUGAUUGGUGUUAAAGGGAGAGUAGGUGGUUCGUUAAAUCAGGUGUGAAAUUUUUCGGCUCAAACGGAGAAUUGCAGUUGAAACUGGAAGUCUUGAGUACACAAGAGGAGGGCGGAAUUCGAGGUGUAGCGGUGAAAUGCAUAGAUAUCACGAAGAACUCCGAGUGCGAAGGUAGCUCACUGGUCUGCAACUGACGCUGAGGCUCGAAAGUGUGGGUAUCAAACAGGAUUAGAUACCCUAGUAGUC